This 126-nucleotide non-coding RNA is filed under the name Chloroherpeton thalassium. RNAcentral describes it as "TPP sequence". It matches the Rfam family "TPP riboswitch aptamer (THI element)". Rfam says of the family: Vitamin B(1) in its active form thiamin pyrophosphate (TPP) is an essential coenzyme that is synthesised by coupling of pyrimidine and thiazole moieties in bacteria. RNAcentral also lists the same sequence under 1 other name. The record is from RNAcentral. Lineage: Bacteria; Pseudomonadati; Chlorobiota; Chlorobiia; Chlorobiales; Chloroherpetonaceae.
AAAUUCCGUUAGGGGUGUCUGCAUAAUUUUUUCUACGGUUAUGCAGUCUGAGAUUAUACUCUUAGAACCUGAUACAGAUAAGCGCACCUGCGCGAUGCUGGCGAAGGGAAACGGGAAAUGGUUUUG